AUGCUGUUGUGUCUCCAUGUGUUUUCAACGCUGUUGUUCUGUCAAUACCACGUCAUACUCAUUCAACAUGUGAUCUACUGGGGCAUUUCCUUUAUGAAGCCCCUAUUGACGCACCUGCCACCAAGUAAACUUGAUCACUCCCUGUUUUUGUGGCCCCGCUGCUCCCUGAAAGCUUCUACCGCGGUUAACAAUGUCUUCCCUGACAAAACGAAAAUCAGACAAACUAAACCCAAGAAGUGUCUUACUCCAGUCACAAUCCCAUGGAAGCAUACUUUUUCUGAGUAACCUAGAUUGGUCUUGGCAGGUCACGGAAGAUACUUAAUGGAAAAGUGGGUCCACAAAGAGCACUUCGUGAUUUGGUAUCAUUACUUGUGCUUAAAUGCUAUUGGCUCACUCACUGCCUUCUACAUCCUACUCAGCCUUUUUCAUUUGCCUUAAAAGCCAUCUUUUCCGAGAAACUCUCCUUGAUCACUCCCAUCUGUAUGAAUUGCAUCUUCCUUGCGUGUAAUGGUGUUUGCAUUUCUAUUAAAUAUAUCGCCUUUAUUAUAGUUAAUUAUUGACUGAUCCCCCGCCCCCCCCAUCCCAAGAUUUCUUGGGACUGAUUGUGAAUUUCUGUGGGCAGAAAGAGUGCUAUUCAUUUUGGGGUCUCCCACAGUGCACAGUGCAGAGCGGUACACAGGCAGGAACAAAAGUCAUGGUCGCUGAAGUUUAGAAAUUUACAAUCUGGUUAGAAGCCAUCUGAUAUCCAUAGGUUAGCGCUGUCCUUGAGGUGCUCCCAGAGCAUAAGAGGUACACAAGAAGAAUGAAAUAAUUGUUCAUAACUCGUCUAGAGCCCAAACUCAACAACACAAGGAGGAAGUCUGGGUAAGGUAGGCAAAGGAUGGGGGAAGAUUGGGAGGAGAGGGGUGUGUAAGUCAGGGAUGCCGUGAGGCCAUCUUAGUGCCUCUUUGUUCCUGUGACAUCUAGAUCAGUUUGUCCCUUUUAGUUAUUUCUAUUUCUGUUUUCUUAGUAUCAAAUAGUAAUAGUUAUAUAGGUCUUAGUUUUAAUAAAUUGUUCCACUAAUGUGGUUUGACCUCA
Molecule: long non-coding RNA, 1077 nt
Filed under: Felis catus (domestic cat)
Lineage: Eukaryota; Metazoa; Chordata; Mammalia; Carnivora; Felidae
Description: lncRNA (ENSFCAG00000051350.1)
Source: RNAcentral